Molecule: ribosomal RNA, 410 nt
Filed under: Satsuma sp. SPW-2007
Lineage: Eukaryota; Metazoa; Mollusca; Gastropoda; Stylommatophora; Camaenidae
Description: partial 16S ribosomal RNA
Rfam family: Archaeal large subunit ribosomal RNA
Source: RNAcentral
AACCUGAAGCAACACAUUUUCGGCGCUUUCUGCUCAAUGAGUGUUAAAUAGCCGCAGUACCCUGACUGUGCAAAGGUAGCAUAAUAAUUUGGCUUUUAAUUGGAGUCUGGUAUGAAUGAAAAAAUGGGGAAAUGCUGUAUCAGUUAAAUGUAUUUAAUUUAAUUAGAAGGUGAAAAUGCCUUUGUUUAUAUAAUAGACGAGAAGACCCUUGAAAUUUGAGAUAUUAAUUUUGUUGGGGCGACAAAGUAGCAUGAUAAACCUACUUUUUUAAUAUGUAUUAGUAUUUAAAGAGAAAUAAAAUUACUCAAGGGAUAACAGCAUAAUUAUAAGUAGUUUGUGACCUCGAUGUUGGAUUAGGAACAUCUAGCCCAGAAGGUUAAGAUUUUCGCUCUGUUCGAGCGGUUUUUCCU